GUCCAGUUUUCCCAGGAAUCCCUUGUUGAACAUGAAAGCGGGAUUCCUGGAAAUACUGUUCU
This is a microRNA precursor of Gadus morhua (Atlantic cod), 62 nucleotides long. Ensembl annotates it as gmo-mir-145. Its record names the gene gmo-mir-145. Lineage: Eukaryota; Metazoa; Chordata; Actinopteri; Gadiformes; Gadidae. The record is from Ensembl.